Molecule: non-coding RNA, 73 nt
Organism: Aedes aegypti (yellow fever mosquito)
Lineage: Eukaryota; Metazoa; Arthropoda; Insecta; Diptera; Culicidae
Source: Rfam
CCUCUCAUGGCGUAGUGGUAACGCGCUCCAACUAGAGAUCGGGGAGUCGUGAGUUCGAUUCUCACUGAGAAGA